Long non-coding RNA from Erpetoichthys calabaricus (reedfish), 484 nucleotides. RefSeq lists it as uncharacterized. Lineage: Eukaryota; Metazoa; Chordata; Cladistia; Polypteriformes; Polypteridae. The record is from RefSeq and is a predicted model, not a curated record. The transcript is spliced from 3 exons.
UCUAAUUAAAAACGAAACGCAUAAACUACAAAAUGAUCACAGAUCAACGGAAACAAAACCGUGUUGUAUGCCGGGAUUUGUAUUUUUCCUUCACAACGAACGCGAUUAGUCUACAUGAAAAAAGGUAAUUUCCCUUCUUUAUUAUUCCGAAAACUGAGAGUAACAGACCGCGGUGUCAAUGUGAUCUCAACUCAUAAAAGAAACCCCGAGCAAAAACGACUACGUAUCGACGGACACUAAAUCCUGAUGCAUGUCGGUAUUUGUAGUUUUUUCAUCUCCACUGAAAGGCGCCUCCACUCACGUAUAAACUACAUCUCCCAGACGGCUGUUGGAGUAACACCUUGCUGUCGGGGUUCACGUCCUGGGAGAGAGCAGAAGAUUCGACGGCGAGAGGAAAUCGAAAGCUAACGCUGCUGUCAUCCAUCCGGGAGCUCAGUAGCACAAGCCGUAUUCAGCUGGGAGCACUCUGUAAAGGUAAGUGUAU